Coregonus clupeaformis (lake whitefish) is the source of this 1421-nucleotide long non-coding RNA. RefSeq lists it as uncharacterized. The transcript is spliced from 2 exons. The record is from RefSeq and is a predicted model, not a curated record. NCBI's taxonomy places the organism in Eukaryota, Metazoa, Chordata, Actinopteri, Salmoniformes, Salmonidae.
UGGCAGCUUUGGCUUUAUUAGAAGACAUUUUCAAUGGACAAAUCCGGAGAGAACGAGUUUUUAGGGACCACGGUGAUUUUCUGGCCCACGACGAUGACUGGCUCAUCAGCCGUUUCAGAUUUCCAAGGGCUAUACUCUUGGAGCUCUGCGCUGAGUUGGGUCCGAAUUUGGAAAGAGAGACAGUGAGGAGCCACGCAUUACCCGUUCCUUUACAGGUGCUUACUACACUUGGUUUCCUAGCAACCGGUUCUUUCCAAAGAGAACUGGCAGACCGCUCAGGAAUAAGCCAGUCGUGUUUGAGCCGUGCAAUGCCACCUGUAUGGGACGGCAUCAUCCGCUUGUCUACCAGGUAUAUAACGUUCCCAUACGAUGCAGGUGACCAGCCAAACAUCAAAGCGCAAUUUGCAGCGAUAGCCGGUUUUCCUAAUGUAAUCGGAGCGAUCGACUGCACACAUAUUGCUAUAAAGGCGCCAUCUGAAGACGAAUUUGCAUAUGUGAAUCGGAAACAUUUCCAUUCAAUAAAUGUGCAGAUUAUAUGUGAUGCACAAAUGCGCCUAACAAAUAUUGUGGCAAGGUGGCCAGGGUCAACCCAUGAUUAAUAUAUCCUUACAAACAGCAUGGUUGGGAUGAGACUCCAAGCUGGCAGGGUGCGCGAUGGGUGGCUGGCUACUUGGUAAGUUAUGCAUUUAAAUGUAUGGUUCUAUCUAAAAGUAAAAUGUUUGUGUCUGUAAUUAUUAUUACUGCCCAUCAGGAGACAGUGGUUAUCCACUAAAGACGUGGCUGUUAACCCCCCUCACCAACCCACAAACUGACCGAGAGCGCAGAUACAAUGAUGCCCAUUCCCGCACUCGGUCAGUUGUGGAGCGGGCGAUUGGGCAGCUGAAAUGUCGGUGGCGCUGCCUUGACAGGACCGGGGGGAUGCUGUUAUACCGCCCUGACAAGGUUUGCCGCAUCAUACUGGCCUGUGGAGUGCUGCACAAUGUCGCGCACAGGCAUGGCAUACCCCUUGGUGAGGUGGGGGCACCGCCAGAUGACCCUGACCCAGGACACGUCAACGUGUAAUUGCGACAAUAUAAAUGAACAGCAUGCGUCAAGACACGGCCAGAUGGACGGGCUUCAGCACUGGGGGGAACAUUAGAGACACGGGAGACGCUGGACUGAAUGGGCUCUGGCUGCUCAGGUGGUGCGGACUCUGAGUGCGUGCCAGUGGACGUUCCUGCGGUUCCUAAGUCCAAUUAAACACAGGCACAUCUUAACAGUAAUUUGAGUCUGUUCCUUAUUAAUGGGUACACGCAUUUGCAAUAAAAGCAGUGGAUACGUGAAAUCUCUGGUGUACCUUUUGCUAUAUUGCAUGCAUUUUAAAAUUAAACGGUGGCUGGCUAUGUAUAUCAAAGUUAAGGAAAUAAAUCUGAGUCACCUUG